RNAcentral lists this unclassified non-coding RNA (261 nucleotides) under uncultured Diaporthales. RNAcentral's name for it is "sequence contains 5.8S rRNA gene, ITS2, 28S rRNA gene". The stretch from base 1 to 52 matches the Rfam family "5.8S ribosomal RNA", at positions 103 to 154 of the family's 154-position model. Lineage: Eukaryota; Fungi; Ascomycota; Sordariomycetes; Diaporthales. The record is from RNAcentral.
AACGCACAUUGCGCCCUCUGGUAUUCCAGAGGGCAUGCCUGUUCGAGCGUCAUUUCAACCCUCAAGCCUAGCUUGGUGUUGGGGCAUUACCUGACUGUCUUCACAGGAGGGUAAGCCCUGAAAUUCAGUGGCGAGCUCGCCAGGACUCCGAGCGCAGUAGUGUAAACCUCGCUUUGGAUCGUACUGGCGCGGCCCUGCCGUAAAACCCCCAACUUCUGAAAAUUUGACCUCGGAUCAGGUAGGAAUACCCGCUGAACUUAA